UAAAAGCAGGUUCAUUUUUGUACAUCGCAGGUAGGCAACCGAUAAUAGGCCAUGGUUUUGGACCAGGAGGUAAUUGUUGUCGCAAUAUGGAUUUUUCAUCUUGAGAUAGUGGUUUAUUGGAUUUUAUGAAAUAAAUUAGUAGUAAGGUCAUCGUUCCCAUCAGAAUAGUAAUGAAUGAGAAGCUGAAUGGAGGUGUGGAAAAGCCAAUGGCUGCAAAGCCAUAGCAGUUCUCCAUUGGCUAAACUACAUGCACAUUUCCAUGUAGUAAAUGAAUUUAGAUGAACACUAGUAGUAAAGUUAAAGCCAUAACUAGUUGGGCUGUACCUCAAUCAAAUAUAUAAUAUUUGAAGUUUUCUUGGUUUGGCGUUUUCAUGUUAAAUCAUUUUAUUUUCUUCUUCUUGAAAUGGAAAAUAGUUGUUAGCUAUAUUUCUUAUCCAUUUAUCAUCAUGUUUAACAAAGUUGUGACAUAAUGAAACAAGAAAAAUUUUCUUUUCUUUAAGAUAUACAGCAACGGUUUGACAAUGAUUGUGAUGUUUGAAACAGAUAGAACAAAAAGACAAGAUGCACUUAUUGAUAACCUGCAAGACAUGUUCCUAAUGUUUAUGGAAAUAAUAAUAUGAGUAAAAGAUGAGGAUAUUCCACGCUACGUUCUCAGUAAUUAGUGAUAAGAUUGGUAAAAUAAGAUCGAUAGAAUUAUUAUUGAUAAAAAUAGUUGUGUCAUAUAGCUUCCACUUAUUAAAGGAAAAAACAACUAAAUAAAAAAUCUGAUUUACUGAAGCUUUUGAUCCACACAAAAAAAUAAAAUAAUAAAUUCUAGUAACUAGUUGAUAUUAUUUUUAUUUUUAUCCAUGUUUAAAAAACUCAAAUUUGCAUCAGAAGCCAACCAAUUUUUCUUUCCUAGUAACAGCAUUAUUCUAAUGUAAUUAGUUCUACUAUGAGUAGCAGCAAUUUGGACCAUUUGAUUAAAUAAGCCGACCAGAGAACAUAUUUCCGUAAGGAAAAAUAAUGAUGAAAUAUAGGCAAAACCUAUUAGAUUCCGAUUUGUGGGGCCAUCUAAGAAUGCUAUUUGGAUUAGCUUGAAGCUUUAUUUCACACCAAAAAUGAUGAUCAUGACGUUGGUGAAGGGAUGUUUGCUAGCACUUUUGUGCAACCAUUAGAAUAUGAUCUUUGUAAAUUUCUUGCUAAUUUUGAUAGUGUUCACCUUGAUUUUAUUGUAAUCUAUAAAGUUCGCAAGGCCGCAAAAAUUGACAAAAGGAAGGUUUUGAAACUAAAAGGAGAGUGUUUCUAUUGGCCUGGAGGGAUUAUUUUAUACUCUUUUCAAUUGGUCUGAUGCAAGAUCAGGAAUUCAAGAACUUCUCAUUUGAUCUAGGAGUGUGCAUUGAUCUAGUUGCACUUGAAGAAAGAGAUACACCAAUAUGUUUAUAGAGUAAUAAAGAUUCAGAUUUGAGGAUAAAUCAUUUUCCAAAAAGGGGUAUGAUGCGUGUCAAAUAAUGGAAAAACGACGAGCUUAUGAUGGUCAUGAAGAUCUAAUGCUAAUUAACAUGAUCCAAACAUAUGAGCUUUGAGUCUUUUAAUUAGUUUUAUAUUUUAACUAGCGUAAUUGGCUUUAUUUAAAUUGGGCUUUUUGUUUUAUUUAAUUUUUAGGGUUUCUUAGCAUAUAUAUAUAUACUUAUCAAAGAUAGAUGAGUUCUCUUUGGUUCUUUAUUAAACUUGUUUUCGAAUUUAUCAAAGAUAAUUAAUUUUUGUGGCAUUUAUGCUUUCACCGUAAUAUCUUUGAUUCAUAAUUCUAGUUGAGUACCAUCAAAGAAGAAAUUCCUAACGGGGAAUUAUGGAUUCUAAUUUGGGAUUUAGAGUUCUUAAUUUGAGAUUUAGAGUUUAUAUAUCAAAUUUGACGCAUCACAACACAUGAAAUAAAAGGUUACUUAUGGAAAUCCAUACAUCUCCUUUCUUAUUGAUCAUGCAUGAUUUGGUCAUAUACGUGCGCAGGCAAUCGCGGCUUCACAAGUGCAAUCAAUGGCUUAGCUAGUGCUAAACUACUCUCGGACUUUGUAAGAUCGAUACUUGUCUGAUUAGGAGGCACGAUCCAAGUAAAUUGUUGGAGUAUGUGGGUAAUCCCAUAUUGGAUAAAUACAAUUAAGUAAAAGGGCAUAUAAUGUGAAGGGUGAACCACCCAAAUGGCUUAGGCCAUUUUGUGUUAAAGGUAAGCCCAACUCAUUAUAAGCUCAAUAUUAAGUAAAUAAUUGAAUUUGAUUCGAUUAAUUUGCUCCUAGGACCCAGAUUCUCAACAUAGUAUCAGAGCCUGAGAUCUGAACCUGUAUGAGGGAAGUUCCCGUGUUGGGUCGUACCCUAAUGGAUCCAUGUGUUGGGCCAUUGUAUGCUUGUCAAGUGGGUAGUCCCACUUGAGGGGGAGUGUCAGUGUUGGGUCGUACCUUGAUGGACCGAUGUGUUGGGCCAUUGUAUGCUUGUCAAGUUGGUAGUCCCACUUGAGGGGGAGUGUUGGAGUAUGUGGGUAAUCCCACAUCGGAUAAAUACAAUUAAGUAAAAGGGCAUAUAAUGUGAAGGGUGAACUAACUAAAAGGCUUAAGCCAUUUUGUGUUAAAGAUAAGCUCAACUCAUUAUAAGCCCAAUAUUAAAUAAAUAAUUGAAUUUGAUUUGAUUAAUUUGCUCCUUGAAGAAGUCUGGCAAAUAGCAUCAAAGCCAUCGAAGUCCCCAUUGUCACCCCUGGACACCCCCGUCUUCCUGUGCUAACUGAAAUGAAAUUCAAAUAUGGAUCAAUAAGUGUCAGGUGAGACCCAUCGUUCUUGAUAUGGCGUUCUGGUUUGAACUUGUGAGGUUCAUCCCAAAUCUUAGGGUUCCAGCCAAGACCCACUCUGCUUAGUAGAACAUGACUGCCUUUUGGAAUAAAGAAGUUUGCUACUGUUGUAUCAGUCAUGGAGACAUGAGGAACAUUGAAUGGCACGACGGGGUGGAGGCGAAAGGCUUCUCUUGCGCAUGCAGUGAGUAAUUAAGCUGUGAAAGAUCGGAUUCUUGGACUAGUCUCUCCUUUCCGACAACUCUAUCCAAUUCUUCUACUGUCUUUUCAAGUAUCUUCGGUUGGUUUAUCAUCUCCGCAAUUGCCCAUUCAACCGCAUUUGAUGGGUUAUCUACUGUUGCUAACAUUAUUUCCUGCAAACAUCAUCGCAUUAAUUAAUUAAACCAAUCUUUGGGGUUGAUAGAAAAGAAGAAAAGAAAAUUAAUCAGAUUACCGUAAUUUGAGCUUUAAUCUCUUCUGUUGAUAGCAAAGGAUUGCCAUUAUCAUCUUUUAAAGUAUUUUAGAAUAUCAAGCAAGUCCUCUUCUUCCUUCUUAGUUCCAUCCUUCCAUUGUUGAACUCUGUCUUCAAUUAUAGGAUCAUGAUAUUUUCCUAUAAUCCCAUUAGACUCUUUAAUAAUCUUCUCAUGACCAUCCAAAUCAAAACCCGCCAAGCAUGGUAAAUAAUCAGACAAACAAAAUGCAUAUAAAUGAUGAAGAACUCUAAAAAUAGCAUCGAUAUGCUCUUCUUCUUCAAAACCAGGUCCAACAUUCUUCCUUCCCUUUCCAAAAAACCUCUUAUUAAACAUCAUUUUCCUAAUUACAUUUCCACAAUAGUGUUGGGCAGCAACUCUCACAUCCACUAAACCACCUUCAUUACACUGAUUAUACGCAUAACGGACUAGGUGAUUUGCUUCUUCUACUCUUGUCCCGUAAAACCGCCGCUGUUUCGUCGGAGAAAGCAAUUGGGUCACUAAAACUCCCCUCAUUUUCUUCCAUUGGUCUCCAAAAGGUGCAAGAGUUGUUGUUAAGUAGCCUUUUGAAGUAAAACGAGUAGACAUGCUUAUGGGUCGGGUUGCAAAAUUAGCAUCUUGAGCUUUCAAGAUUUCACAGCUAAUUUUGGGGCAAGUGACUGGUAUUACAUGAACGUUCCCAAGACGGAUACAUGGAAUUUCAGUAUUCAUUUGUUUCAUGAGAUUGUGUAUCCAUCUAAAAGCAGAUUCGUUUUUGUACAUCGCAGGUAGGCAACCGAUAAUUGGCCAUGGUUUUGGACCAGGAGGUUAUUAUUGUCGCAAUAUGGAUUUUUCAUCUUGAGAUGGUGGUUUAUUGGAUUUUAUGAAGUAAAUCAGUAGUAAGGUCAUCGUUCCCAUCAGAAUAGUAAUGAAUGAGAAGCUGAAUGGAGUUGUGGAAAAGCCAACGGCUGCAAAGCCAUAGCAGUUCUCCAUUGGCUAAAC
This 4242-nucleotide long non-coding RNA is filed under the name Jatropha curcas. Its description in RNAcentral is "long non-coding RNA (JCUR_LNC000232)". Lineage: Eukaryota; Viridiplantae; Streptophyta; Magnoliopsida; Malpighiales; Euphorbiaceae. The record is from RNAcentral.